UACGGGGGGGGCAAGCGUUGUUCGGAAUUACUGGGCGUAAAGGGCUCGUAGGCGGCCAACUAAGUCAUACGUGAAAUCCCUCGGCUUAACCGGGGAACUGCGUCUGAUACUGGAUGGCUUGAGUUCGGGAGAGGGAUGCGGAAUUCCAGGUGUAGCGGUGAAAUGCGUAGAUAUCUGGAGGAACACCGGUGGCGAAGGCGGCAUCCUGGACCGAUACUGACGCUGAGGAGCGAAAGCAUGGGGAGCGAACAGG
This 253-nucleotide ribosomal RNA is filed under the name uncultured bacterium. Its description in RNAcentral is "partial 16S ribosomal RNA". It matches the Rfam family "Bacterial small subunit ribosomal RNA", at positions 524 to 776 of the family's 1533-position model. The record is from RNAcentral.